Molecule: long non-coding RNA, 551 nt
Organism: Nerophis lumbriciformis (worm pipefish)
Lineage: Eukaryota; Metazoa; Chordata; Actinopteri; Syngnathiformes; Syngnathidae
Source: RefSeq, a predicted model, not a curated record
GCUGUCAAAGUGUUUAGCACAGAGACGUUUGAUUUAUCGACUUAAAGAGGCUGCUGAUGGUUUCCAUUUUCUUAUCAAUUGCAGUUUUACUUUUUUCCGGCCUGCAGAUGGAACGGCAUGCAGCCAUUCUGGACAAGGAGGCAGUCCCAGUUGCAAAACAUCUUGAUGCAGUGUGUAACAUCAACCCUGACAAAACAAGGUCAGGAUAAAGAGUAACAUCUUCACAAGAGCUCCAAACAUGGCCUGAGAAAAAUCACUCAACUUCUUUUGGAACAGGUGCACCUGCACGAAACCAUUCGGUCAGCCAACGUGCAAUGGCAUUAAUAUGCUUUGUCCCACCGUGAUAAAGGUAGAUAUGGACGGAUGAGCCAUUUGGCCUUGUCAGUUUUCUUACAACUGAUCCAGUUGCCUUAAAACAUACUUUCUGGUGAGUUUUCUUUAAGAAGGUUUUGUACUCAUUUGUGUUUGACUCCAAUAGUGACAGAACAAUGUCUCUGAUACUACCAAUAUGAGGUGAGCUGCAAGGAAUAAAUAGGAUUUUUGUCACCUAA